RNAcentral lists this ribosomal RNA (460 nucleotides) under uncultured bacterium. RNAcentral's name for it is "partial 16S ribosomal RNA". It matches the Rfam family "Bacterial small subunit ribosomal RNA", at positions 338 to 795 of the family's 1533-position model. The record is from RNAcentral.
CCUACGGGGGGCAGCAGUGAGGAAUAUUGGUCAAUGGCCGGAAGGCUGAACCAGCCAUGCCGCGUGAAGGUCAGUGCCCUAUGGGCGUUAAACUUCUUUUGUGCGGGAGCAAUAAUGGUCACGUGUGGCCAGACGAGAGUACCGUACGAAUAAGCAUCGGCUAACUCCGUGCCAGCAGCCGCGGUAAUACGGGGGAUGCAAGCGUUAUCCGGAGUUAUUGGGUUUAAAGGGUGCGUAGGCUGUGAGGUAAGUCAGCGGUGAAAUGCCCACGCACAACGGGGUGAAGUGCCAUUGAUACUGCCUGGCUGGAAGGCGGAUGCCGUGGGAGGAAUGUGUGGUGUAGCGGUGAAAUGCAUAGAUAUCACACAGAACACCGAUUGCGAAGGCAUCUCACGAAUCCGCGAUUGACGCUGAUGCACGAAAGCGUGGGUAUCAAACAGGAUUAGAUACCCGAGUAGUC